UGGGGAAUUUUGGACAAUGGGCGAAAGCCUGAUCCAGCAAUGCCGCGUGUGUGAAGAAGGCCUUCGGGUUGUAAAGCACUUUUGUCCGGAAAGAAAUGGCUCUGGUUAAUACCUGGGGUCGAUGACGGUACCGGAAGAAUAAGGACCGGCUAACUACGUGCCAGCAGCCGCGGUAAUACGUAGGGUCCAAGCGUUAAUCGGAAUUACUGGGCGUAAAGCGUGCGCAGGCGGUUGUGCAAGACCGAUGUGAAAUCCCCGAGCUUAACUUGGGAAUUGCAGUGGUGACUGGACGGCUAGAGUGUGUGAGAGGGGGGUAGAAUUCCACGUGUAGCAGUGAAAUGCGUAGAGAUGUGGAGGAAUACCGAUGGCGAAGGCAGCCCUCUGGGAUAACACUGACGCUCAUGCACGAAAGCGUGGGGAGCAAACAGG
RNAcentral lists this ribosomal RNA (429 nucleotides) under bacterium. Its description in RNAcentral is "partial 16S ribosomal RNA". It matches the Rfam family "Bacterial small subunit ribosomal RNA", at positions 355 to 776 of the family's 1533-position model. The record is from RNAcentral.